CAAAGUUUUAUUUUUGCUUGAAAUUAAGUUUAUUUAUUUUAUAAAUAUAUUAAAAUAUAGAUUUGUUUAAUUGUAUUAUAACUAAUUAUAAAAAAUUAAUUAUUGUUAUAGAUAUAAAUUCUAAAAGUAGUUAAAAUUGUGCCAGCAACUGCGGUUAAACAAUUGCUUUGAUUUAAUUUUAUAUAAAUUUUAUUUUUUGAAUUUUAAGAAUAAAAUAUUAUGUUUUAAGUGAAAUUAAAUUAUAAUAAAUUAACUUUUAUAUUAAAUAAUUUAAGAAAAUUAAUGAUUUAGACUGGGAUUAGAUACCCCAUUAUUAUUAAUGUAAAAUUUUAAUUUAAGGUAGUAAAUGUUAUGUUCAGGAAACUUAAAAAAUUUGGCGGUGAUUAAUUUAAUAGAGGAAUAUGUUUUUGAAUCGAUAAUCCACGAUUAUUCAACUUAAUUUAAUUUAAUUUGUAUAUCUCCGUCUUAAAAAAUAUUUUUAAAAAUUAUUUUUUUAUAUUUAAGAAAAUAAAAAGACAGGUCAAGGUGCAGUUUAUAGUUAAGGUAAAAUGUAUUACAAUAAAAAUAUUUAUGAAUUAUAUAUUAAAAUUUAUAUGAAAUUGGAUUUAUUAGUAAAUUAAUUUAAAUAAUAAUUAUUUGAAGGGUUUAUUAAACAUGCACAUAUUGCCCGUCAUUCUCUUAUUAAUUAGAGGUAAGUCGUAACAAAGUAGAUUAACUGGAAAGUGAAUCUGGUUUCAG
RNAcentral lists this non-coding RNA (738 nucleotides) under Ectopsocopsis cryptomeriae. The record is from RNAcentral. Lineage: Eukaryota; Metazoa; Arthropoda; Insecta; Psocodea; Ectopsocidae.